GAUGAAGAACGCAGCGAAAUGCGAUACGUAAUGUGAAUUGCAGAAUUCAGUGAAUCAUCGAGUCUUUGAACGCACAUUGCGCCCCCUGGUAUUCCGGGGGGCAUGCCUGUCCGAGCGUCAUUGCUGCCCUCAAGCACGGCUUGUGUGUUGGGCCUCCGUCCUCCUCCCGGGGGACGGGCCCGAAAGGCAGCGGCGGCACCGCGUCCGGUCCUCGAGCGUAUGGGGCUUCGUCACCCGCUCUUGUAGGCCCGGCCGGCGCUUGCCGACACAUCAAUCUUUUUUCCAGGUUGACCUCGGAUCAUGUAGGGAUACCCGCUGAACUUAAGCAUAUCAAUAAGCGGAGGA
RNAcentral lists this unclassified non-coding RNA (345 nucleotides) under soil metagenome. RNAcentral describes it as "partial contains 5.8S ribosomal RNA, internal transcribed spacer 2, and large subunit ribosomal RNA". The stretch from base 1 to 120 matches the Rfam family "5.8S ribosomal RNA", at positions 35 to 154 of the family's 154-position model. The record is from RNAcentral.